This 64-nucleotide microRNA precursor is filed under the name Bombyx mori (domestic silkworm). Its description in RNAcentral is "mir-2774 microRNA precursor family". It matches the Rfam family "mir-2774 microRNA precursor family". Lineage: Eukaryota; Metazoa; Arthropoda; Insecta; Lepidoptera; Bombycidae. The record is from Rfam by way of RNAcentral.
ACAAAAUUCGGACCCACGGUCUACCGAGCAAAACCCGCUCAGGGGAAGAUCUUCCCUUUGUCGU